UGGGGAAUAUUGCACAAUGGGCGGAAGUCUGAUGCAGCGACGCCGCGUGGGGGAUGAAGGCCUUCGGGUUGUAAACUCCUUUCGACAGGGACGAAGCUUUUGUGACGGUACCUGUAUAAGAAGCACCGGCUAACUACGUGCCAGCAGCCGCGGUAAUACGUAGGGUGCGAGCGUUGUCCGGAAUUACUGGGCGUAAAGAGCUCGUAGGUGGUUUGUCGCGUCGUCUGUGAAAUUCCGGGGCUUAACUCCGGGCGUGCAGGCGAUACGGGCUGACUUGAGUGCUGUAGGGGAGACUGGAAUUCCUGGUGUAGCGGUGAAAUGCGCAGAUAUCAGGAGGAACACCGAUGGCGAAGGCAGGUCUCUGGGCAGUAACUGACGCUGAGGAGCGAAAGCAUGGGUAGCGAACAGGAUUAGAUACCCUGGUAGUCCAUGCCGUAAACGGUGGGCGCUAGGUGUAGGGGGCUUCCACGUCUUCUGUGCCGUAGCUAACGCAUUAAGCGCCCCGCCUGGGGAGUACGGCCGCAAGGCUA
Molecule: ribosomal RNA, 530 nt
Filed under: uncultured bacterium
Lineage: Bacteria
Description: bacterial SSU rRNA
Rfam family: Bacterial small subunit ribosomal RNA
Source: RNAcentral